This is a non-coding RNA of Colletotrichum tofieldiae, 71 nucleotides long. NCBI's taxonomy places the organism in Eukaryota, Fungi, Ascomycota, Sordariomycetes, Glomerellales, Glomerellaceae. The record is from the annotation of a GenBank genome assembly.
GGCCGAUUGGUCAAGUGAUAAGAUGCUUGCUUUGGGCGCAAGAGUCUCGCGUUCGAAUCGCGGGUCGGCCC